Molecule: ribosomal RNA, 301 nt
Filed under: uncultured bacterium
Lineage: Bacteria
Description: partial 16S ribosomal RNA
Rfam family: Bacterial small subunit ribosomal RNA
Source: RNAcentral
CAGUAGCCGCGGGAAUACAGAGGGUGCGAGCGUUAAUCGGAUUUACUGGGCGUAAAGCGUGCGUAGGCGGCUUCUUAAGUCGGAUGUGAAAUCCCUGAGCUUAACUUAGGAAUUGCAUUCGAUACUGGUUAGCUAGAGUGUGGGAGAGGAUGGUAGAAUUCCAGGUGUAGCGGUGAAAUGCGUAGAGAUCUGGAGGAAUACCGAUGGCGAAGGCAGCCAUCUGGCCUAACACUGACGCUGAGGUACGAAAGCAUGGGGAGCAAACAGGAUUAGAUACCCCGGUAGUCCCUGUCUCUUAUAC